This 1041-nucleotide long non-coding RNA is filed under the name Zonotrichia albicollis (white-throated sparrow). RNAcentral's name for it is "lncRNA (ENSZALG00000004984.1)". Lineage: Eukaryota; Metazoa; Chordata; Aves; Passeriformes; Passerellidae. The record is from RNAcentral.
GAGAGGAGAGGAGACCCCUUGGGAAUGGUCCCCCCUGGGUCACUCUGUGCCCCCAUCAUGGGGCUGGGUGACCUGGGGGGACACAGGUGGCCCCUGGUGACAGGAUUUGGGAUUGGAGGUGCCCCUCAGAGGGGUCUGUGCUGGUCUGUGGGGUCACUGUGUGUCCCCAUCAUGGGGCUGGGUGUCCUGAGGGGACACAGGGAUGUCGUGGGGGGACACAGGUGGCCCCUGGUGACAGGAUUUGGGGUCGGAGGUGGGAACAGCCCCACAGAGGGGUCUGUGGGACGUGAUGGUGUGGGGAAGUGCAGAGUGAGGNUGAUUGGCCAUUAAUUAGAAACAACCACAUGAGACCAAUCACAGAUCCACCUGUUGCAUUCCACAGCAGCAACAGGUAUCAUUGUAAAUCAAUGUUUACAUUUUGUUCCUGAGGCUUCUCAGGAGAAAAAAAUCCUAAAGCAAAGAUUUUUUAGAAAAUAUCAUGGCUACACAGGAUUGGGGUCACCGAGGGCUUUUUGGGUGGAGUGGCCACACUGCUGGCAGCCAGAUCCAUCCCAUUUUCCAUGCUGGGUGACAGGGACGUGCGCUGGAACAAAGGGACAAUCCUGAAGGCGUCCGUGGACUACAUCAAGAGGAUGCAGAAGGACCUGCAGAGGUCCCGGGACCUGGAGAACCACUCGCGGCGCCUGGAGAUGGCCAACAAGCAGCUGCUGCUCCGCAUCCAGGUGAGCUCCCCUGGCUCUGCCCUGUCCUCUCCCCACCAAACCCUCGCUCCUGCCCUGCUGAGGCCAUGGCCAGGGUGUCUGCUGUGACCGUGCUCACAGGGCUCUGAGGGUGAGGGAAGAGACGAGGAUCUGAUUCCAUGUUACAGAAGACUGAUUUAUUACUUUAUUAUAUCUAUAUCUAUAUCUAUAUCUAUAUCUAUAUAUCUAUGUAUCCAUAUCUAUAUCCAUAUCUAUAUCUAUAUCUAUAUCUAUAUAUAUAUAUCUAUAUAUAUAUCUAUAUAUAUAUAUAUCUAUAUAUAUAUCUAUAUCUAUAUCUCCA